RNAcentral lists this transfer RNA (67 nucleotides) under Marmota monax (woodchuck). Its description in RNAcentral is "tRNA.Ala". It matches the Rfam family "tRNA", at positions 6 to 65 of the family's 71-position model. From Rfam's summary of the family: Transfer RNA (tRNA) molecules are approximately 80 nucleotides in length. Lineage: Eukaryota; Metazoa; Chordata; Mammalia; Rodentia; Sciuridae. The record is from RNAcentral.
GGCUGUAGCUCAGUGGUAGAGCGCUUGCCUAGCAUGCACAAGGCACUGGGUUCAAUCCUCAGCACCA